RNAcentral lists this long non-coding RNA (340 nucleotides) under Bos taurus (domestic cattle). RNAcentral describes it as "long non-coding RNA NONBTAT025813". Lineage: Eukaryota; Metazoa; Chordata; Mammalia; Artiodactyla; Bovidae. The record is from RNAcentral.
GUUGCACAUAACACUUUAGAAUUCCUCUGUCUUGGAUUAAUGUCCCAGUUGGUCCUGAUAGCAUCCUUGAAUUAUGGCCUUUUAAAGUUUUCUUUUAAUUAUGUAUGUUGAGUUUCAGAGCAGAGACGCAAGCAUUUCCAUCUCUUCCUGACAAGGAGUUAAUGAAGGGAAUGUAAUCGUGUUGCCUAUUAACUGAUAUACUAAAAUUUCCACUGACUGCCGUAACUAAUUUUUUCAGUGUAACAUCAUUUUGUUGUUGUUUUUUUCUUUUAUGUCAUCCAAAUAUACAAGAUGCUAGUAGUAAGAUGAAUAUUAUUUUCACUAAUAGACUAACAAAUGC